This 1524-nucleotide ribosomal RNA is filed under the name Salmonella enterica. RNAcentral describes it as "partial 23S ribosomal RNA". It matches the Rfam family "Bacterial large subunit ribosomal RNA", at positions 1428 to 2925 of the family's 2925-position model. The record is from RNAcentral. Lineage: Bacteria; Pseudomonadati; Pseudomonadota; Gammaproteobacteria; Enterobacterales; Enterobacteriaceae.
GGUUAAUAUUCCCGUACUUGGUGUUACUGCGAAGGGGGGACGGAGAAGGCUAUGUUGGCCGGGCGACGGUUGUCCCGGUUUAAGCGUGUAGGUGUGUGUUCCAGGUAAAUCCGGUUCACUUUAACACUGAGGCGUGAUGACGAGGCACCACGGUGCUGAAGCAACAAAUGCCCUGCUUCCAGGAAAAGCCUCUAAGCCUCAGGUAACAUCAAAUCGUACCCCAAACCGACACAGGUGGUCAGGUAGAGAAUACCAAGGCGCUUGAGAGAACUCGGGUGAAGGAACUAGGCAAAAUGGUGCCGUAACUUCGGGAGAAGGCACGCUGACACGUAGGUGAAGUGGUUUACCCAUGGAGCUGAAGUCAGUCGAAGAUACCAGCUGGCUGCAACUGUUUAUUAAAAACACAGCACUGUGCAAACACGAAAGUGGACGUAUACGGUGUGACGCCUGCCCGGUGCCGGAAGGUUAAUUGAUGGGGUCAGCGCAAGCGAAGCUCCUGAUCGAAGCCCCGGUAAACGGCGGCCGUAACUAUAACGGUCCUAAGGUAGCGAAAUUCCUUGUCGGGUAAGUUCCGACCUGCACGAAUGGCGUAAUGAUGGCCAGGCUGUCUCCACCCGGGACUCAGUGAAAUUGAACUCGCUGUGAAGAUGCAGUGUACCCGCGGCAAGACGGAAAGACCCCGUGAACCUUUACUAUAGCUUGACACUGAACACUGGUCCUUGAUGUGCAGGAUAGGUGGGAGGCUUUGAAGUGUGGACGCCAGUCUGCAUGGAGCCAUCCUUGAAAUACCACCCUUUAAUGGCUGGUGUUCUAACGUGGGCCCGUGAACCGGGUUGCGGACAGUGUCUGGUGGGUAGUUUGACUGGGGCGGUCUCCUCCUAAAGAGUAACGGAGGAGCACGAAGGUUGGCUAAUCCUGGUCGGACAUCAGGAGGUUAGUGCAAUGGCAUAAGCCAGCUUGACUGCGAGCGUGACGGCGCGAGCAGGUGCGAAAGCAGGUCAUAGUGAUCCGGUGGUUCUGAAUGGAAGGGCCAUCGCUCAACGGAUAAAAGGUACUCCGGGGAUAACAGGCUGAUACCGCCCAAGAGUUCAUAUCGACGGCGGUGUUUGGCACCUCGAUGUCGGCUCAUCACAUCCUGGGGCUGAAGUAGGUCCCAAGGGUAUGGCUGUUCGCCAUUUAAAGUGGUACGCGAGCUGGGUUUAGAACGUCGUGAGACAGUUCGGUCCCUAUCUGCCGUGGGCGCUGGAAGAUUGAGGGGGGCUGCUCCUAGUACGAGAGGACCGGAGUGGACGCAUCACUGGUGUUCGGGUUGUCAUGCCAAUGGCACUGCCCGGUAGCUACAUGCGGAAGAGAUAAGUGCUGAAAGCAUCUAAGCACGAAACUUGCCCCGAGAUGAAUCUUCCCUGAGCCUUUAAGGCUCCUGAAGGAACGUUGAAGACGACGACGUUGAUAGGCCGGGUGUGUAAGCGCAGCGAUGCGUUGAGCUAACCGGUACUAAUGAACCGUGAGGCUUAACCUUACAAC